Cyprinus carpio (common carp) is the source of this 1365-nucleotide long non-coding RNA. RefSeq lists it as uncharacterized. The record is from RefSeq and is a predicted model, not a curated record. The transcript is spliced from 4 exons. NCBI's taxonomy places the organism in Eukaryota, Metazoa, Chordata, Actinopteri, Cypriniformes, Cyprinidae.
GGAUUGAUUGAUUGCCACUCUGUCAUUCUGAGGGUUUGAUUGAGGCUUCAUGCUGUAUCACAUUGUGUUUGUUUUUAUGUGUGGGAUGUUUGUGUGGAAACGCGAAUGACAGAAGCUCAGAAAACUGGGUAUUUACUAAAUGAUCUGCUCUGCUGGAGUCACAUGUCUUCUGUCAUUCCCACUUUUAACUGUGCUGGGAUGCGUCUGCGAGCUCGCUCAUCACUAUUUUUGGGUAAUCUUCAUUGCAGUGUUGUCCAAAUCUUUAGGAUGCUGGAGGAGACAUGGUGACUGUAAUCUUCCAGUGUUGUUACAGUAUGUCUGCUGGGUCUAGAGCUUUAAAAUACACAUCUGUUCAUUCAAGAGAUUGUCUCCCCUCUGCUAGCCAUCUUCCCUGCCCCAAGCAGCUAUUACCAACACUGCCUUCCACUCCCAGACUCUUUAUUAUACAACUCUAUUAAUUAGCUUCAGUAUGAUAGAUGGUCCUACUCUGGUCUCUCUCUCUCUCUGAAUUAUUGAAGUUAAAAGAUUUUUACUCAAACGAACAAUUUACUGCAGUUUAAUCAGACCCGUCAGCUCAUUGCAAAUUCUAACUGUCCUACUAAUUACACAGAGUCCUUAAACAACAAAACCUUGUUCUGUAAAAAUCAGCCGUUUAUGGGGCAUUUUGUAUGUUUAAGUUUGUGAGAGUGGGCGGCCACUGAUGCAUGCUGGGAUAAUAUCCCAGUCUAAAAAAACAGGGUCUUCAGCAAAAAAUCUAAAAUAAAUAAAAAUAUGUCUCAGUCAACUAUUCACAUAUACAUUUCAACAAACAUGUUUCUUAAUUGGUGUAUUUCAUUUGAUAUGUUAUAAUACUAACUGAAUAUAAAAAUCAUUAUCUUUUCUUGUUUUCGUGUCUGUGUUUCUUUCCUCAACAGGAUAUGUACACAAGCGUGUGUGAUACUGGCCGGAUGUGUCCUAUCUGUUUAAACAUUGUGCAUUCUGUGAUGGGAGUGUUCGGGAGUAGAAAGGCUUUGUCUUCUAAGCUGUACUGAUAAUGCUGUAAUACUGUAUCUUGCAGUAUAGAAUUUAUAGUGCAUAAGUGGAUGUUAACUGCUACGUCAUUGACAGUAAUGGCUUCAUCAUGGUCUCUAAGGACAGGGAUGAUGUAAGAGCACUUAUAGUGACAGGUUAAAGUCAACAUGAAAUGGCAUUCACAACCCACUAAACAUCUGUAAUGACAUAUUUCUGAGUUGGCAGGUUUCUGGGGGAAACUGAUGGGUCGGUGAUGUCACAGCUCUUAAAAAUGGGCAUGUUCAUAAGGUAUGAGCACGUGAGGUGUACAUGCUGUCACUGCUUGUUUUCCACAGAGUGCUACUCUAUGACUAU